GCUCCUGUCGUUCAAUGGAUAGGAUACCUCCCUCCGAAGGAGGUGAUGCUGGUUCGAUUCCAGCUAGGAGCA
This 72-nucleotide transfer RNA is filed under the name Candidatus Taylorbacteria bacterium CG11_big_fil_rev_8_21_14_0_20_46_11. RNAcentral describes it as "tRNA-Arg". It matches the Rfam family "tRNA". From Rfam's summary of the family: Transfer RNA (tRNA) molecules are approximately 80 nucleotides in length. The record is from RNAcentral. Lineage: Bacteria; Candidatus Tayloriibacteriota.